AGCCCGUACAUCUAUAGGUUAACUAAUGAGGUAAAGGUAUGGCGGAAGUUUAUACAUGAGAGGGUUUGGUAGCCCGUACAUCUAUAGGUUAACUAAUGAGGUAAAGGUAUGGCGGAAGUUUAUACAUGAGAGGGUUUGGUAGACCGUACAUCUAUAGGUUAACUAAUGAGGUAAAGGUAUGGCGGAAGUUUAUACAUGAGAGGGUUUGGUAGCCCGUACAUCUAUAGGUUAACUAAUGAGGUAAAGGUAUGGCGGAAGUUUAUACAUGAGAGGGUUUGGUAGCCCGUACAUGAAGGCUUUUAUAGACAAAAAGGUUGAGGGGACUUCAAGGAAGGUCAGCCUACUUUCUGAUACAAAAUGCAAUAAUGUGUACUGAACCUAUCGCCCGUAAUAAAGCACAAUGCUCUGUGAUAAACUGUGUCCAGUACAGUGGCAGCUGCAUUCAUAUAGGCAUGUUCAGAAUUGUUUUCUGCUAUUUAACGAAAGAGAGGACCUGUUCCUAUAGAAUAAACCUAUUUUAAUUCUUAAUUUCUUAACUAGCCAGCUGUGGGGACAAUAGCUAACACCACAGUUUCAUCUGCAUACAGGUGAAAGUACAAUUUUUUUUUUUUUUUUUUUUUUUUUACAGAUAAACCAAUAUUGUUAAUGAAAAUAGUCAAAAGAACCGGACCAAGAAUCGAUCCCUGUGGGACACCCUUUGUUAUAUCCAGAUUUAACUCCAUCAGUUAAUACACACUGGGUUAUUUAAAUCAUUUUCAAACCAGCUACACACAGCCUGGUCCAGUCCAAUUUAUGAAAGCCUCUGAAUGAGUAAUAGGUAUGGACUUUAGACAGGUCAAUAAAAAGGGCUGAAACAAUGUUUCUUCUUAUCCAAACAAUCAAGACACAAUUGAAUACCAAAGAAGUAGCAGAGAUGGUACUAUAACCUGGUCUUAAAGCCUGACUGGUGUACAUUUAGAAUACAUUUUGUAGUUAACAAGUUGAGUAUUUACCAAGGAUUCUAGAAUUUUUGCAAAAGAGUUUGGAAAUGGGGCAACAAGGUCACCACCCUUGUGAAGGGGGAAUAUAUGGGCCGGCCGCCUUCCAGACCCUAGGGAUGGUAUCAUGUGUGAAAGAUUUUGCAAUCAGGAUCAGAUAUUUGCAGCAAGAAAGUAUAAAGCAAAUCAACCCCAGUGGAUUUUUGUUUUACAUACAUCUUGUGUUAAUACGUCUCAAGUAGAAAGUUGUUGAAAUGAAAACAAAGAUUCACUAAAAUAAUUUAUCCAUACCUUUUAAUUGCAAAACAAUCAGUGCCAUCUACAAAUAAAAUAAAAU
Oncorhynchus tshawytscha (Chinook salmon) is the source of this 1314-nucleotide long non-coding RNA. The record is from Ensembl. Lineage: Eukaryota; Metazoa; Chordata; Actinopteri; Salmoniformes; Salmonidae.